CGUGCUUAACACACGCAAGUCGAACGGUAAGGCCCUUCGGGGUACACGAGUGGCGAACGGGUGAGUAACACGUGGGUGAUCUGCCCUGCACUUCGGGAUAAGCCUGGGAAACUGGGUCUAAUACCGGAUAUGACCUCUGCCUGCAUGGGUGGGGCGGAAAGCUUUUGUGGUGUGGGAUGGGCCCGCGGCCUAUCAGCUUGUUGGUGGGGUUAAGGCCUACCAAGGCGACGACGGGUAGCCGGCCUGAGAGGGUGACCGGCCGCACUGGGACUGAGACACGGCCCAGACUCC
This 291-nucleotide ribosomal RNA is filed under the name unidentified marine bacterioplankton. RNAcentral describes it as "partial 16S ribosomal RNA". It matches the Rfam family "Bacterial small subunit ribosomal RNA", at positions 43 to 339 of the family's 1533-position model. The record is from RNAcentral.